RNAcentral lists this transfer RNA (84 nucleotides) under Asanoa iriomotensis. RNAcentral describes it as "tRNA-Ala". The record is from RNAcentral. Lineage: Bacteria; Bacillati; Actinomycetota; Actinomycetes; Micromonosporales; Micromonosporaceae.
CGGCGGCUGGUCGAGUUCGAGGCCGAGCGGGCCGGCACCCUGCUCGACGACGGCCUGCCGCUGCUGCGGCUGCUGCGCGGCUGG